Molecule: ribosomal RNA, 447 nt
Filed under: uncultured bacterium
Lineage: Bacteria
Description: partial 16S ribosomal RNA
Rfam family: Bacterial small subunit ribosomal RNA
Source: RNAcentral
AACGAACGCUGGCGGCAUGCCUAACACAUGCAAGUCGAACGAUGCCUUCGGGCAUAGUGGCGCACGGGUGCGUAACGCGUGGGAAUCUGCCCUUGGCCUCGGAAUAACAGUUAGAAAUGACUGCUAAUACCGGAUGAUGUCCCCCUGAGAGAUCUUGGGGACCAAAGAUUUAUCGGCCAGGGAUGAGCCCGCGUCGGAUUAGGUAGUUGGUGGGGUAAAGGCCUACCAAGCCGACGAUCCUUAGCUGGUCUGAGAGGAUGAUCAGCCACACUGGGACUGAGACACGGCCCAGACUCCUACGGGAGGCAGCAGUGGGGAAUAUUGGACAAUGGGGGGAACCCUGAUCCAGCAAUGCCGCGUGAGUGAUGAAGGCCUUAGGGUUGUAAAGCUCUUUUACCAGGGAUGAUAAUGACAGUACCUGGAGAAUAAGCUCCGGCUAACUCCGUG